RNAcentral lists this ribosomal RNA (956 nucleotides) under uncultured bacterium. RNAcentral's name for it is "bacterial SSU rRNA". It matches the Rfam family "Bacterial small subunit ribosomal RNA", at positions 548 to 1501 of the family's 1533-position model. The record is from RNAcentral.
GAGUUACUGGGCGUAAAGGGUGUGUAGGCGGUUGUUUAAGUUUGGUGUGAAAUCUCCCGGCUCAACUGGGAGGGUGCGCCGAAUACUGAAUGACUUCGAGUGCGGGAGAGGAAAGUGGAAUUCCUGGUGUAGCGGUGAAAUGCGUAGAUAUCAGGAGGAACACCGGUGGUGUAGACGGCUUUCUGGACCGUAACUGACGCUGAGACACGAAAGCGUGGGUAGCAAACAGGAUUAGAUACCCUGGUAGUCCACGCCCUAAACGAUGCAUAUUUGGUGUGGGCAGUUCAUUCUGUCCGUGCCGGAGCUAACGCGUUAAAUAUGCCGCCUGGGGAGUACAGUCGCAAGGCUGAAACUCAAAGGAAUUGACGGGGGCCCGCACAAGCGGUGGAGCAUGUGGUUCAAUUCGACGCAACGCGAAGAACCUUACCUGGGCUCGAACGGCUUCUCAACGCCGGUGGAAACAUCGGUAUCCCGCAAGGGAGUGGAGUCGAGGUGCUGCAUGGCUGUCGUCAGCUCGUGUCGUGAGAUGUUGGGUUAAGUCCCGCAACGAGCGCAACCCUUGUCCUGUGUUGCCAUACCGAAAGGUGGAACUCGCAGGAGACCGCCAGCGAUAAGCUGGAGGAAGGUGGGGAUGACGUCAAGUCCUCAUGGCCUUUAUGUCCAGGGCUACACACGUGCUACAAUGGGCGGUACAAAGGGUCGCUAACCCGCGAGGGGGAGCCAAUCCCAAAAAACCGUUCUCAGUUCGGAUUGCAGGCUGCAACCCGCCUGCAUGAAGCUGGAAUCGCUAGUAAUGGCAGAUCAGCACGCUGCCGUGAAUACGUUCCCGGGCCUUGUACACACCGCCCGUCACAUCACGAAAGUGGAUUGUACUAGAAGUCUUCAGGCUGACCCGCAAGGGAGGCAGAGGCCCAAGGUAUGAUCCAUGAUUGGGGUGAAGUCGUAACAAGGUAACC